AAGUAUAACAUCAUAUUUCUGAUGGCAUCAAUUUUUUUGCCUUUUUGUCUCAAUGAUAAUAGGCUGUGGCUCUACAUCCAAAAUAGCUAAACAAGAAGCUUCAGGUUCCCUUCUUCCACAUGUCUCCAUUUGUACAUGAACACACUUAGAAAGAAAGUUAUUUAUCCAUGAUCAAAGGAUCUCAUCUCCUGCUGGUACACUCACAGAAAAGAAUAUUUACUGAGAGUAUCUUUGUCUUUAAAACCAAGGACAAAGUGCUUCAAACAGCUAACCCUGAAGCAAGUCAUGCCCAAGAUGUGCGUUCCCUGCACCACUGCCUUGAGCCACUCCAAAUGCCACAUGUCCUCCUUGCCCAUCUAAUUUUCCACGUAAAUAUCAUCAGCCACCAUCAGGCACACUGAGUGAGAGCUUGAGACAACAGUGAGGGUCAUGAAAACAAGGCCUGAAGGUGAGGGACAGCUUCAAUCUCAAGUCAUGAUGAAGCAAAUAUCAUUAUUGAGAAGUUUUAAAUAAAGAUAUGCUUCAACAAGAAUUAUCCUG
RNAcentral lists this long non-coding RNA (540 nucleotides) under Chinchilla lanigera (long-tailed chinchilla). RNAcentral's name for it is "lncRNA (ENSCLAG00000023524.1)". Lineage: Eukaryota; Metazoa; Chordata; Mammalia; Rodentia; Chinchillidae. The record is from RNAcentral.